This 73-nucleotide transfer RNA is filed under the name Rattus norvegicus (Norway rat). It matches the Rfam family "tRNA". Rfam says of the family: Transfer RNA (tRNA) molecules are approximately 80 nucleotides in length. Their secondary structure includes four short double-helical elements and three loops (D, anti-codon, and T loops). Lineage: Eukaryota; Metazoa; Chordata; Mammalia; Rodentia; Muridae. The record is from Rfam by way of RNAcentral.
GGGGAUAUAGCUUAAUGGUUAAAGCACCUGUCUAUCAUGAGUGAGGCCCUGGGUUCAAUUCUCAAUAUCACUU